This 253-nucleotide ribosomal RNA is filed under the name uncultured bacterium. RNAcentral's name for it is "partial 16S ribosomal RNA". It matches the Rfam family "Bacterial small subunit ribosomal RNA", at positions 524 to 776 of the family's 1533-position model. The record is from RNAcentral.
UACGGAGGGGGCUAGCGUUGUUCGGAAUUACUGGGCGUAAAGCGCACGUAGGCGGCCUUUUAAGUCAGGGGUGAAAUCCCGGGGCUCAACCCCGGAACUGCCCUUGAAACUGGGAGGCUAGAAUCUUGGAGAGGCGAGUGGAAUUCCGAGUGUAGAGGUGAAAUUCGUAGAUAUUCGGAAGAACACCAGUGGCGAAGGCGACUCGCUGGACAAGCAUUGACGCUGAGGUGCGAAAGCGUGGGGAGCAAACAGG